UACGAAGGGGGCUAGCGUUGCUCGGAAUCACUGGGCGUAAAGCGCACGUAGGCGGAUCUUUAAGUCAGGGGUGAAAUCCCAAGGCUCAACCUUGGAACUGCCUUUGAUACUGGGGAUCUCGAGUCCGGAAGAGGUUGGUGGAACUGCGAGUGUAGAGGUGAAAUUCGUAGAUAUUCGCAAGAACACCAGUGGCGAAGGCGGCCAACUGGUCCGGUACUGACGCUGAGGUGCGAAAGCGUGGGGAGCA
RNAcentral lists this ribosomal RNA (247 nucleotides) under uncultured bacterium. RNAcentral describes it as "partial 16S ribosomal RNA". It matches the Rfam family "Bacterial small subunit ribosomal RNA", at positions 524 to 770 of the family's 1533-position model. The record is from RNAcentral.